CCGAGUUAGGGUCUUCUAGGCCCGACCUCCCAACCCUUUGUUUACCAAACCUAUGUUGCUUCGGCGGGCCCGUCUUUAUUGACCGCCGGAGGACUGUCCGUUAUAGGCGUCCUCUGGCCCGUGCUCGUCGAUGGCCCAACCCCUAAAACUCUGUAUAAAUCGUGUCAUGAUUGUCUGAGUACAGUGAUUUGAAUAUAAAUAA
This 202-nucleotide unclassified non-coding RNA is filed under the name uncultured Chaetothyriales. RNAcentral's name for it is "sequence contains ITS1". Lineage: Eukaryota; Fungi; Ascomycota; Eurotiomycetes; Chaetothyriales. The record is from RNAcentral.